RNAcentral lists this ribosomal RNA (253 nucleotides) under uncultured bacterium. RNAcentral describes it as "partial 16S ribosomal RNA". It matches the Rfam family "Bacterial small subunit ribosomal RNA", at positions 524 to 776 of the family's 1533-position model. The record is from RNAcentral.
UACGGAGGAUGCAAGCGUUAUCCGGAAUGAUUGGGCGUAAAGCGUCCGCAGGUGGUUGUGUGUGUCUAUUGUCAAAGCAUCAUGCUUAACAUGAUAAAGGCAGUAGAAACUACACGACUAGAGUGCGUUCGGGGCAGAGGGAAUUCCUGGUGUAGCGGUGAAAUGCGUAGAGAUCAGGAAGAACACCGGUGGCGAAAGCGCUCUGCAAGGCCGCAAAUGACACUGAGGGAUGAAAGCUAGGGGAGCGAAUGGG